RNAcentral lists this ribosomal RNA (1554 nucleotides) under Salmonella enterica subsp. enterica serovar Schwarzengrund. Its description in RNAcentral is "bacterial SSU rRNA". It matches the Rfam family "Bacterial small subunit ribosomal RNA". The record is from RNAcentral. Lineage: Bacteria; Pseudomonadati; Pseudomonadota; Gammaproteobacteria; Enterobacterales; Enterobacteriaceae.
UUAAAUUGAAGAGUUUGAUCAUGGCUCAGAUUGAACGCUGGCGGCAGGCCUAACACAUGCAAGUCGAACGGUAACAGGAAGCAGCUUGCUGCUUUGCUGACGAGUGGCGGACGGGUGAGUAAUGUCUGGGAAACUGCCUGAUGGAGGGGGAUAACUACUGGAAACGGUGGCUAAUACCGCAUAACGUCGCAAGACCAAAGAGGGGGACCUUCGGGCCUCUUGCCAUCAGAUGUGCCCAGAUGGGAUUAGCUUGUUGGUGAGGUAACGGCUCACCAAGGCGACGAUCCCUAGCUGGUCUGAGAGGAUGACCAGCCACACUGGAACUGAGACACGGUCCAGACUCCUACGGGAGGCAGCAGUGGGGAAUAUUGCACAAUGGGCGCAAGCCUGAUGCAGCCAUGCCGCGUGUAUGAAGAAGGCCUUCGGGUUGUAAAGUACUUUCAGCGGGGAGGAAGGUGUUGUGGUUAAUAACCGCAGCAAUUGACGUUACCCGCAGAAGAAGCACCGGCUAACUCCGUGCCAGCAGCCGCGGUAAUACGGAGGGUGCAAGCGUUAAUCGGAAUUACUGGGCGUAAAGCGCACGCAGGCGGUCUGUCAAGUCGGAUGUGAAAUCCCCGGGCUCAACCUGGGAACUGCAUUCGAAACUGGCAGGCUUGAGUCUUGUAGAGGGGGGUAGAAUUCCAGGUGUAGCGGUGAAAUGCGUAGAGAUCUGGAGGAAUACCGGUGGCGAAGGCGGCCCCCUGGACAAAGACUGACGCUCAGGUGCGAAAGCGUGGGGAGCAAACAGGAUUAGAUACCCUGGUAGUCCACGCCGUAAACGAUGUCUACUUGGAGGUUGUGCCCUUGAGGCGUGGCUUCCGGAGCUAACGCGUUAAGUAGACCGCCUGGGGAGUACGGCCGCAAGGUUAAAACUCAAAUGAAUUGACGGGGGCCCGCACAAGCGGUGGAGCAUGUGGUUUAAUUCGAUGCAACGCGAAGAACCUUACCUGGUCUUGACAUCCACGGAAGUUUUCAGAGAUGGAUUUGUGCCUUCGGGAACCGUGAGACAGGUGCUGCAUGGCUGUCGUCAGCUCGUGUUGUGAAAUGUUGGGUUAAGUCCCGCAACGAGCGCAACCCUUAUCCUUUGUUGCCAGCGGUCCGGCCGGGAACUCAAAGGAGACUGCCAGUGAUAAACUGGAGGAAGGUGGGGAUGACGUCAAGUCAUCAUGGCCCUUACGACCAGGGCUACACACGUGCUACAAUGGCGCAUACAAAGAGAAGCGACCUCGCGAGAGCAAGCGGACCUCAUAAAGUGCGUCGUAGUCCGGAUUGGAGUCUGCAACUCGACUCCAUGAAGUCGGAAUCGCUAGUAAUCGUGGAUCAGAAUGCCACGGUGAAUACGUUCCCGGGCCUUGUACACACCGCCCGUCACACCAUGGGAGUGGGUUGCAAAAGAAGUAGGUAGCUUAACCUUCGGGAGGGCGCUUACCACUUUGUGAUUCAUGACUGGGGUGAAGUCGUAACAAGGUAACCGUAGGGGAACCUGCGGUUGGAUCACCUCCUUACCUUAAAGAA